RNAcentral lists this ribosomal RNA (468 nucleotides) under uncultured bacterium. Its description in RNAcentral is "partial 16S ribosomal RNA". It matches the Rfam family "Bacterial small subunit ribosomal RNA", at positions 28 to 507 of the family's 1533-position model. The record is from RNAcentral.
GAUGAACGCUGGCGGCGUGCUUAACACAUGCAAGUCGAACGGAAAGGCCCAAGCUUGCUUGGGUACUCGAGUGGCGAACGGGUGAGUAACACGUGGGUGAUCUGCCCUGCACUUCGGGAUAAGCCUGGGAAACUGGGUCUAAUACCGGAUAGGACGAUGGUUUGGAUGCCAUUGUGGAAAGUUUUUUCGGUGUGGGAUGAGCUCGCGGCCUAUCGGCUUGUUGGUGGGGUAAUGGCCUACCAAGGCGUCGACGGGUAGCCGGCCUGAGAGGGUGUACGGCCACAUUGGGACUGAGAUACGGCCCAGACUCCUACGGGAGGCAGCAAUGGGGAAUAUUGCACAAUGGGCGCAAGCCUGAUGCAGCGACGCCGCGUGGGGGAUGACGGCCUUCGGGUUGUAAACUCCUUUCGCUAGGGACGAAGCGUUUUUGUGACGGUACCUGGAGAAGAAGCACCGGCUAACUACGUG